This 478-nucleotide ribosomal RNA is filed under the name uncultured bacterium. RNAcentral describes it as "partial 16S ribosomal RNA". It matches the Rfam family "Bacterial small subunit ribosomal RNA", at positions 28 to 523 of the family's 1533-position model. The record is from RNAcentral.
AUUGAACGCUGGCGGCGUGCUUAACACAUGCAAGUCGAACGGUAAGGCCCUUCGGGGUACGCGAGUGGCGAACGGGUGAGUAACACGUGGGUGAUCUGCCCUGCACUUCGGGAUAAGCCUGGGAAACUGGGUCUAAUACCGGAUAGGACCACUGCCUGCAUGGGUGGUGGUGGAAAGCUUUUGCGGUGUGGGAUGGGCCCGCGGCCUAUCAGCUUGUUGGUGGGGUGAUGGCCUACCAAGGCGACGACGGGUAGCCGGCCUGAGAGGGUGACCGGCCACACUGGGACUGGGAUACGGCCCAGACUCCUACGGGAGGCAGCAGUGGGGAAUAUUGCACAAUGGGCGCAAGCCUGAUGCAGCGACGCCGCGUGAGGGAUGACGGCCUUCGGGUUGUAAACCUCUUUCAGCACCGACGAAGCGCAAGUGACGGUAGGUGCAGAAGAAGGACCGGCCAACUACGUGCCAGCCGCCGCUGUAA